This 593-nucleotide long non-coding RNA is filed under the name Anser brachyrhynchus (Pink-footed goose). RNAcentral describes it as "lncRNA (ENSABRG00000022032.1)". The record is from RNAcentral. Lineage: Eukaryota; Metazoa; Chordata; Aves; Anseriformes; Anatidae.
AUGCAGCCCUGCCACAGAGCGCUGCUGUUUAGCCAUUGUUUAAAAUGUCACGUAGUCAAAACGCCCACUUUUCAAAGGUCUCCUCAGGGCAUGACGGGAGGAGAUCAAGUGUCUGGCAGCGAGGACGCAGCUGGGACAGACAGGAGCACGAACACACAGCUACCCGCACUGGGGUAUCGAUGGGCACGCAGCCAGCACUGCCGUCGUGCAGCUCCCCUUCUCGGCAAGGAAGGAUGCCAGGCAUUUGAGAGCAGCCUACGAAGAAAAGCACGAGAGGUGACACAGAAAUCCCAGCUGAUUCAGUUCCUGGCAGUGGUGGUGAAACACACAUCGCACCUGCCCUUUCAUUUCUGCUGAUUCCCGAGUGACUGCCCGUGCCCUUGAGCAGCAGUCCGCAGAACAAAGCACGCGCCCAAUUCAGCAGCGUUCCCUGGAAGAGGGCCUGGGGAAACCUCCUUCUACAAUUGGCUUGCUGUUCUGAGAAACCUGUCUUCUAGCCAUCAUUAAAACGCUUCGUAUUAAAACAGCCAAAAUGCACGAGCCUGAAAAAUUCACCUAAAUACGUCUGCUAAUAAAGCGGCAAGGUACCCUCA